GAUGAACGCUGGCUACAGGCUUAACACACGCAAGUCGAGGGGCAGCAUGGUCUUAGCUUGCUAAGGCCGAUGGCGACCGGCGCACGGGUGAGUAACACGUAUCCAACCUGCCGUCUACUCUUGGACAGCCUUCUGAAAGGAAGAUUAAUACAAGAUGGCAUCAUGAGUUCACAUGUUCACAUGAUUAAAGGUAUUCCGGUGAUCGAUGGGGAUGCGUUCCAUUAGGCAGUUGGCGGGGUAACGCCCACCAAAUCUACGAUGGAUAGGGGUUCUGAGAGGAAGGUCCCCCACAUUGGAACUGAGACACGGUCCAA
Molecule: ribosomal RNA, 314 nt
Filed under: uncultured bacterium
Lineage: Bacteria
Description: bacterial SSU rRNA
Rfam family: Bacterial small subunit ribosomal RNA
Source: RNAcentral